AUUGAACGCUGGCGGCAUGCCUUACACAUGCAAGUCGAACGGUAACGGGCCUUCGGGUGCCGACGAGUGGCGAACGGGUGAGUAAUACAUCCGAACGUGCCCGAUCGUGGGGGAUAACGAGGCGAAAGCUUUGCUAAUACCGCAUACGAUCUACGGAUGAAAGCCGGGGACCGCAAGGCCUUGCGCGGACGGAGCGGCCGAUGGCAGAUUAGGUAGUUGGUGGGAUAAAAGCUUACCAAGCCGACGAUCUGUAGCUGGUCUGAGAGGAUGAUCAGCCACACUGGGACUGAGACACGGCCCAGACUCCUACGGGAGGCAGCAGUGGGGAAUUUUGGACAAUGGGCGCAAGCCUGAUCCAGCCAUGCCGCGUGCAGGAUGAAGGCCUUCGGGUUGUAAACUGCUUUUGUACGGAACGAAAAGCCUUCUUUUAAUACAGGAGGGUCAUGACGGUACCGUAAGAAUAAGCACCGACUAACUACGUG
RNAcentral lists this ribosomal RNA (482 nucleotides) under uncultured bacterium. Its description in RNAcentral is "partial 16S ribosomal RNA". It matches the Rfam family "Bacterial small subunit ribosomal RNA", at positions 30 to 507 of the family's 1533-position model. The record is from RNAcentral.